UCGGGUUUUUAUAUCUGGUUUUCUAAAAAACAAAUUCAAUUUGGAAUAAAAAUACAACUAUUUUUAUAAUUAGAAGAUUAGGUUAAUCUUAAUUUUCAAAUAAUGAAUUUUAUAUAGAGCUCUAUUUUUUAUUCUUAUCUAAAUAGGCCCAAUAGUAGCUAUUUUAUUAAAGUAUUCUAACUAAAAUAAGAAUCCUAUAUUAUCUUAAAGCUCUUAAAUCAAUAUUAGAAAAUUAUUUAAAACUUCCCAAAUUAACUUAUUAUGAAAUUAUUAGUAAAAUAAUAUUAUACUAACCUAUAUUAGAUUUAUACUAUAAAAUCAUAUUUCUAUUUAAAUUUAUUUAAAGAACUAGGCAAAUUCUAUUCUCGCCUGUUUAACAAAAACAUGUCCUAGUGUAUAAAAUACUAGGUCUAGCCUGCCCACUGACACUAUGUUUAACGGCCGCGGUAUUUCUGACUGUGCCAAGGUAGCAU
This 473-nucleotide ribosomal RNA is filed under the name Diogenes sp. RNAcentral describes it as "partial large subunit ribosomal RNA". The record is from RNAcentral. Lineage: Eukaryota; Metazoa; Arthropoda; Malacostraca; Decapoda; Diogenidae.